This 86-nucleotide transfer RNA is filed under the name Nitrososphaeria archaeon. RNAcentral's name for it is "tRNA-Ser". It matches the Rfam family "tRNA". Rfam says of the family: Transfer RNA (tRNA) molecules are approximately 80 nucleotides in length. Their secondary structure includes four short double-helical elements and three loops (D, anti-codon, and T loops). The record is from RNAcentral. Lineage: Archaea; Thermoproteati; Nitrososphaerota; Nitrososphaeria.
GCCGGGGUAGCCUAGCGGACAAGGCGCAGGCCUUGAGAGCCUGUGACCCGAUAAGGGUCGCCUGGGUUCGAAUCCCAGCCCCGGCG